UUGGUAUGGCCUUCUCAUUCCUCCACACCUUCCCAUAACAUCUCUGCUGAAUCCAAGACCUGCUUGUGGAGUAGAUAAAGGAGGUUGAAGACAGGAGAGUGUCCCUCUUUUUGCUACAGACUUCGCUUAGAAGUUUUGUGCCCACUAUUUCUGCACCUGAAUUGUUGGUAUCCCAAGCUCAACAAAUCCCAAUACCAACAUCAUCUACAAAGAACACCAUAUCCUCUCCUGUAGCUUCAAAACCUGACUCUUUUAUCUUCAGUCAGUUCCAGAACUACAACUCUUAACCCUUCCUGAACACUUGUACAAAAGGGUGACACAACUGGAAUUACUCACACUGGCGCUCCCUUCCCAGCCAAAAGUGGUUAUGCUCUGUUCUCUGGGAGAAGUGGCAAAUGGAGCUGGGACAAUUAGACAGAUCCAAGGAGGACUCAGAUGAAAAUGCCCCCCUGGUCUUAAACAUUUUGGAAAAAACAGCACAGAGAGUUUCCUCAAUCAAAGCUCAGACUUCCAAACAGGAGGUACUUAUCUGCACUUGUCAAUCAAAGACAUCUGCCUUCCUAUGAUGCAUCUGCUGCAACAAAGACUUGAACGUAGGAGACAAAAGGAGGUGGAAAACAGGAAAAUGCCCUCUUUCCACUGUGGACCUCACUUGGAGCAGCUGGGACAGUCUUUUCUGUACUCAGCUUUACGGUGCUCAAGCAGAAUCUUUCCACUCUCCAACCUUCCUGGUCUUGGACAUGCCUUCCCCAUCAGAGAAAUUGAGAGAGAAAAGCUGGUCACAUGUGAAUUAGGACAGAAAUUGUCUGGAGCCUGAGUGGAGGAGAUACUGCCUGCAGCCCGAGUCCAUAGCUGAUGACCAUUUUGGAGCCUUUAUAAAAUUCCUAACCUAUGGAGAUUGCAGAGUUUCCGGCUGAGUGAGUGAAGUCAUGGGUUUAUAGGAAGACCUCAACCCCGCUGAGACAGACGUGACCACACUUGGGAUUCUUCUGGUUGUUGCCCUAAGCUGCAUCUCAACUUGCUGUUCAUUGUGUUCUGUACUGAGAAAAAUAUGAAAAUAUG
Non-coding RNA from Oryctolagus cuniculus (rabbit), 1062 nucleotides. The record is from RefSeq and is a predicted model, not a curated record. Lineage: Eukaryota; Metazoa; Chordata; Mammalia; Lagomorpha; Leporidae.